GCGGAAGUGGCGGAAUUGGUAGACGCACCAGAUUUAGGUUCUGGCGCCGCAAGGUGUGAGAGUUCAAGUCUCUCCUU
This 77-nucleotide transfer RNA is filed under the name Photobacterium proteolyticum. It matches the Rfam family "tRNA". Rfam says of the family: Transfer RNA (tRNA) molecules are approximately 80 nucleotides in length. Their secondary structure includes four short double-helical elements and three loops (D, anti-codon, and T loops). Lineage: Bacteria; Pseudomonadati; Pseudomonadota; Gammaproteobacteria; Vibrionales; Vibrionaceae. The record is from Rfam by way of RNAcentral.